GACGAACGCUGGCGGCGUGCUUAACACAUGCAAGUCGAACGGAAAGGCCCUGCUUUUGUGGGGUGCUCGAGUGGCGAACGGGUGAGUAACACGUGAGUAACCUGUCCUUGACUUUGGGAUAACUUCAGGAAACUGGGGCUAAUACCGGAUAGGAGCUCCUGCUGCAUGGUGGGGGUUGGAAAGUUUCGGCGGUUGGGGAUGGACUCGCGGAUUAUCAGCUUGUUGGUGGGGUAGUGGCUUACCAAGGCUUUGACGGGUAGCCGGCCUGAGAGGGUGACAGGCCACAUUGGGACUGAGAUACGGCCCAGACUCCAACGGGAGGCAGCGGUGGAGAAUAUUACACAGUAGGCGGAAGCCUGAUGUGGCAACGCCGCGUCCGGUAUGAGGUCCUUCGGGUUGUAAACCGCUUUCGCCUUUGACGAGGCGUGAGUGACGGUAAUGGGUAAAGAAGCACCGGCUAACUACGUG
RNAcentral lists this ribosomal RNA (468 nucleotides) under uncultured bacterium. RNAcentral describes it as "partial 16S ribosomal RNA". It matches the Rfam family "Bacterial small subunit ribosomal RNA", at positions 28 to 507 of the family's 1533-position model. The record is from RNAcentral.